CCCUUAGAUGUUCUGGGCUGCACGCGUGCUACACUGAUAUUGCCAAUAUGUCAUUCUUAUCCGAAAUGGAUUGGGUAAUCAAGUAAUGAAAUUUCAUGCUUGGAAUCGGUAAUUGCAAUUUUAUCGUUAACGAGGAAUUCCUAGUAAGCACUAGUCAUCAGCUAAUGUUGAUUAUGUCCCUGCCCUUUGUACACACCGCCCGUCGCUACUACUGAUUGGGUGUUCAAGUGAGAUGCUUAGACCCUUGUUGCAUGGUUCAUUAUUGUGCUCCGAAAGGAAAAAGUUUCAAGCUUGAGUGUCUAGAGGAAGUAAAAGUCGUAACA
Molecule: ribosomal RNA, 323 nt
Filed under: uncultured eukaryote
Lineage: Eukaryota
Description: partial 18S ribosomal RNA
Rfam family: Eukaryotic small subunit ribosomal RNA
Source: RNAcentral